GAUGAAGAACGUAGCGAAAUGCGAUAAGUAAUGUGAAUUGCAGAAUUCAGUGAAUCAUCGAAUGUUUGAACGCACAUUGCGGCCUCUGGUAUUCCGGGGGGCAUGCCUGUUCGAGCGUCAUUACAACCCUCAAGCUUUGCUUGGUAUUGGACAUUGCCAGUUUCUGGCAGGUCUUAAAAUCAGUGGCGGUGCCAUUUGGCUUCAAGCGUAGUAAUUCUUCUCGCUUUGGAGAUCCAAGUGGUUACUUGCCAAUAACCCCCAAUUUUUUCAGGUUGACCUCGGAUCAGGUAGGGAUACCCGCUGAACUUAAGCAUAUCAAUAAGCGGAGGA
Molecule: unclassified non-coding RNA, 330 nt
Filed under: soil metagenome
Description: partial contains 5.8S ribosomal RNA, internal transcribed spacer 2, and large subunit ribosomal RNA
Rfam family: 5.8S ribosomal RNA (bases 1-120)
Source: RNAcentral